CCCUUAGAUGUUCUGGGCCGCACGCGCGCUACACUGGUCGAUGCAACGAGUUUCUUUCCUUGGCCGACAGGCCUGGGCAAUCUUUGAACAUCGAUCGUGAUCGGGAUAGAUUCUUGUAAUUUUUGAUCUUAAACGAGGAAUUCCUAGUAAACGCAAGUCAUCAGCUUGCAUUGAUUACGACCCUGCCCUUUGUACACACCGCCCGUCGCACCUACCGAUUGAAUGGUCCGGUGAAAUCUCCGGACUGGCGUGAGUCGGAGCAAUCUGACAAACACCGGAAAGUUGAUUAAACCUUACCAUUUAGAGGAAGGUGAAGUCGUAACA
This 324-nucleotide ribosomal RNA is filed under the name uncultured eukaryote. RNAcentral describes it as "partial 18S ribosomal RNA". It matches the Rfam family "Eukaryotic small subunit ribosomal RNA", at positions 1470 to 1796 of the family's 1831-position model. The record is from RNAcentral.